GGAGACAAAGCUCCCUCCUGUGUGUCCCUGGUGGUCUAGUGGCUAGGAUUCGGCGCUUUCACCGCCGCGGCCCGGGUUCGAUUCCCGGCCAGGGAAUUGUUUUACACUGGCCGCCCUCCCGCAGGAAUCUUCCUUCACUACGCUGUCAGCCGGCCUGCUCCAAGGGCCAGAAGCAGAACAGUCUCCGCAGCGGGGUUAAAGCCGGGCGAAGGAGGGCAAGCGCUGGUGGACCACCUCUCACGACACACCGUUCCUGUUUAUCUCCGUGUCCGUCAUCCGCCGAAGCAGCUUUAGAGAGCGACUGAGCGUCUCGCUCCGGUGUACACAGCCCGGCAGAGAUGCCAGCCCCCGUGGAGCUGCACCCAAUAAGCCCACCUUCUUUCCCGUCGCCACCCCGGAGACGCCCAUCGGGCUGAGCUGCGAAUAACUAAGAGAGAGGCCAAGCCAAGUCGUGGCGUUUGUGGCAACCCCGGACACGGGCACCAGCCAGUCAGCGGAGCCUCCUCACCUCCGUUGCCAGCGAAGGCGCUCGUUAGGCCUUGGGAAGAGGCGACCGGAGGCGAUGCCCGCGAAUUUGUUAGGGGGAGUUGCUGAUCCCUGUGAUUUCCUCCAUGUGGGAAACGGUGUUUGUGCUAGAAGAGGCUGCGCUCUUUACCUGACAUAACGGGGUUCAAGACUGACAACGCCUCACGCCCACCCGAAAACGUUUACAUGGCUUCCUUGUCUCUUUUUUUUUCUGUCCUAAAGUCGCCUCAUCUUCACAUCCCCUCUUUUUUUUCUUCCACACUCGAGAGUGUCUCUCUCUCUCAGUAAAAGCUCCACCAAAUAUUUGAAAUAUCUCAACCAGAAAGACUGCAAUAAAUACAUUAUUUCAUUCGUGGAA
Molecule: unclassified non-coding RNA, 883 nt
Filed under: Homo sapiens (human)
Lineage: Eukaryota; Metazoa; Chordata; Mammalia; Primates; Hominidae
Description: long intergenic non-protein coding RNA 3126 (ENSG00000291400.1)
Rfam family: tRNA (bases 25-96)
Source: RNAcentral